Molecule: ribosomal RNA, 500 nt
Filed under: uncultured bacterium
Lineage: Bacteria
Description: partial 16S ribosomal RNA
Rfam family: Bacterial small subunit ribosomal RNA
Source: RNAcentral
AUUGAACGCUGGCGGCAGGCUUAACACAUGCAAGUCGAGCGGAGCGAGGGUGCUUGCACCUUAGCUUAGCGGCGGACGGGUGAGUAAUGCCUAGGAAUCUGCCUGGUAGUGGGGGACAACGUUUCGAAAGGAACGCUAAUACCGCAUACGUCCUACGGGAGAAAGCAGGGGACCUUCGGGCCUUGCGCUAUCAGAUGAGCCUAGGUCGGAUUAGCUAGUAGGUGAGGUAAUGGCUCACCUAGGCGACGAUCCGUAACUGGUCUGAGAGGAUGAUCAGUCACACUGGAACUGAGACACGGUCCAGACUCCUACGGGAGGCAGCAGUGGGGAAUAUUGGACAAUGGGCGAAAGCCUGAUCCAGCCAUGCCGCGUGUGUGAAGAAGGUCUUCGGAGUGUAAAGCACUUUAAGUUGGGAGGAAGGGCAGUAAGUUAAUACCUUGCUGUUUUGACGUUACCGACAGAAUAAGCACCGGCUAACUCUGUGCCAGCAGCCGCCGUAA